This 869-nucleotide ribosomal RNA is filed under the name uncultured archaeon. Its description in RNAcentral is "bacterial SSU rRNA". It matches the Rfam family "Archaeal small subunit ribosomal RNA", at positions 1 to 878 of the family's 1478-position model. The record is from RNAcentral.
CUCCGGUGAUNCCUGCCGGACCUGACUGCUAUCGGAUUGGUACUAAGCCAUGCGAGUCGUUGUAGCAAUACAAGGCGGACGGCUCAGUAACACGUAGUCAACCUAACCUAUGGACGUGGAUAACCUCGGGAAACUGAGAAUAAACCGCGAUAGAUCAUUAUGCCUGGAAUGGCUUAUGGUUCAAACAAUUUAUUGCCGUAGGAUGGGACUGCGGCCUAUCAGCUUGUUGGUGAGGUAAUGGCCCACCAAGGCUAUAACAGGUACGGGCUCUGAGAGGAGAAGCCCGGAGAUGGGUACUGAGACACGGACCCAGGCCCUAUGGGGCGCAGCAGGCGAGAAACCUUAGCAAUGUGCGAAAGCACGACUAGGUUAAUCCGAGUGAUUUCUGUUGAAGAAAUCUUUUGUCAGUCGUAAAACCACAGACGAAUAAGGGGUGGGCAAGUCUGGUGUCAGCCGCCGCGGUAAUACCAGCACCUCGAGUGGUCAGGAGGUUUAUUGGGCCUAAAGCAUCCGUAGCCGGCUACGCAAGUCUCCGGUUAAAUCCAGCUGCUCAACAGAUGGGCUGCCGGAGAUACUACAUAGCUAGGGAGCGGGAGAGGUAGACGGUAUUCUGUGGGUAGGGGUAAAAUCCACUGAUCCAUAGAGGACCACCAGUGGCGAAGGCGGUCUACCAGAACGCGUUCGACGGUGAGGGAUGAAAGCUGGGGGAGCAAACCGGAUUAGAUACCCGGGUAGUCCCAGCUGUAAACGAUGCAAACUCGGUGAUGCAUUGGCUUAUGGCCAAUGCAGUGCCGCAGGGAAGCCGUUAAGUUUGCCGCCUGGGAAGUACGGACGCAAGUCUGAAACUUAAAGGAUUUGGCGGGGGAGCA